UUCAACAACAAAAAUUCGUUUGACAACAAUUUAUUACUACACUGAACUAAAAUGUUAUCAUUUUUUCAUUUUAAAAUAGAUUUUUGUUCUUUGUUUGUCGAUUUCGGUGUUUAUGCAAUAUUGACGAAUAUAUUGUGGCUAGAGCGAUCCGCGAUCGCACCCCCCGGUAUAGCAUUUGCUCCGAUAUAUCACGUGACAAAAUAAUCCACAAUUUGUGGAUUAUUUCACCAGCCUUUACCAGGGCCUUUGCUGCCCUUCGCCUCCUUCCUCAAAAGGCCCUGGGGACGAGGUUGACGUUUGGCAACAAUCGUUUCAUUUGGCAACAACAAUCCCAAAAUGCAUUGCGAGUUUGCAAAUUUAAAAACAAGAUUGCGGAUCAACAUCAACACGACAAGGGCGCUAUAAAACACGGGCGGGGAAACGCGCUGAAAGCGCGCUGAUCCAUGUGUGAUACGGAUGAGACUGGCGCGAGCGCGCUUAUUUUUCAAAAUGAAAAGAAAAAAGGAGCGAGAAAUGGCAGAAAAAAUUGCAGAAAGUUUUAUAGGAAAGCAUCCUUAUACAAGACAUAAGAAUUGCUUUUUUUAAAUGAAAUUUAUAGUGUCCUAAUGCUAGAUUAAUGGACAAUAAAUGUCUUAUAUUAAUGAUUGACAAAAAUGACUAAACUAAAAUAUAUUCCCAUUUUUUCUGUCGCAAGUGUACAUUUUUUUCAUCAAAAUUUUCGAGUUUGAAAGGGCGCAUUUUGGCUUUAAAUUGGCCUUUCACCAAGGGUAAGUUGGCAAAAGUUAUUUUGAAAUCAUCAUCCUCUUCGAUUCGCCAUUUAAUGGCCAUUCUAAUACAUAUAGUGAGCGAAUGGACUUUUUUUUGACUUGUUACUAUAUUUAAUGUUUUCUACAACCUAUACUGUACUUCUCUCGCCCGGCCCGGAAGAAAGACUUGCAAAGUUUUUUUUAAAAAAUAGUUUUUAAAAAAGUUUUAAAAAGUUUGAAAAGAGUUUUGAAAAGCAAGAAAAGUUUAAAAAGUUCGAUUUUUAAAAAAGUUAAAAAAAUUUAAAAAGUUAAAAAAUGAGGGUUAGGGGUUAGUGGUUAGUGGUUAGGGGUUAGGGGUUAGUGGUUAGGGUUGGGGUUGGGGUUAGGGUUAGUGUUAGGUGCCGUGAAUUUAUUAUUAUGAUAAAUUCAAAAUUUGCCGCGAAUUUAUCAUAAUGAUAAAUUCGGACGUGUUUUAAGAAUUUACUCAUAUAGUAAAUUCAAAGGUGGAGCUCAUGCUGUAUUAAAGAUAGACUGAAAUGGGGCCCGAUAUGCUGUCUUGUUUAGUUGUUUCAUAUACGCAAAGGCCGUCGGGUUUUAAAGCAAUUAUAAAAUCAAUAUUUAAAACAAAUUUACCUUCGUUAACGUCGGCUCCCUUCUUUUAGCCGAUUCUUUCGCGAUUUUACAAAAUUUUGCAAAAAUGCGAGCAAAAAUGAAAUAUAUUUGCAAGAAAUUUAUCAAUCAUCAAAUAAAGAAAUGUUUGCUAUUUCGCUGUCGUCAUGCAGUCGUUAUAAUGCAAACUUUAAAUUGGACCAAUCACAGUGUUCGCUAUUCAUGACAGUCUGCCAUAUUUUUGAGAUCAGUGAGGAUGACCACACACGGUUGGUGACCCACUCCCGCGAUAUUUGAUGAACUUUAGACUUCGCUAAUGCUUUCGUUUCCCCGGGUGUAAAUAGCCGGGGGGAUUAGUACCCUCGCACGGCGCUUCGCGCCGUCGGCUAGGGGAUUAAUUUUUGUUGCUAGCUGCAACAGAAUAAAUGUUUAAUUACGUUCUCAAAAAGCCGUCAAGUGCAUAAGCGCAUUAAUAAUUAAUUCAAGAAUAUUUUUCCAAACCGAGUUUAAACUGAUGUUUUUCGACACAUGUUUCAUUACUAGUAAAAUCGUCGGUUUUGUUUAGGGAAAAAUCGUAGUACGGCCAUCGAACGCAAUAGCGGACGUGCGAGCAUUGAGCAUUUUUGGGCUGCAAAUGUCUUAGUAUCACUGGAAAAACAAACCGCGAAAAAUGCUCGAAAAAUUUUUCCUAGGUCCCAAACCUACCCAAAACUUUUGUAUUCUAUGAGACUAAGUUAUGACACAUCCGAAAUACAACAUUUGAUAAAUGGAUUUUUUUUACGUUGCCAAGUCAAAAAUAUAGCUUCUCGCUAGGGACGGGAUACUUUAUAAACAAUGAAAAACAAACCGCGGAAAAAUUGUAUUUUUGCUCGUAAAAGUUUCCCAAGAUUCGAAAUCUACUCAAAACUUUUGUAUUCUAUGAGAUUAAGUUAAGAUGUAUCCGAAAAACAACAUUAGAUAAAUGGCUUAUAAUCGCGAAUAUUAUACACUUAAUGUCUGCUCCCGAGGGAAAUAGUUAGUUUUGUUUUCCCGAUCAAUCAUAUUGUUAUGAGCAAUAUAAUUAGAGUUGCACCGUGAAUAGGCCAGUGCGGCAUUCGCAUGGUAACAUUGGAAAUUAGAGGUAUACUGUAGUAUCACAGCGACAUGCUGAUAAUUAGCUUUUUACUCGGGCUAGCAAAGGUAGACCGAGUUAUAAAAUGGGUUCGCAUUUCGCUGUCAUGUCGCAAGUUUGCAAAAAACACGCGUGGGUGUCACUCAUGCCACGCACACUGAAAGAUGAUCUCGCUGUGAAUGUAGUUGUGGUAUUUGGCAACUAUAAACGCAACAUUCUAUAAGUUGUUCCUUUUCGUGUUGAAAGGUGGGCUUAAAUUGGUUAUCGUACUUGAUUUUUAAAUUUCAAUAUUACGCAAAUUUGACUAGUUUCUACAAGUAGUGCUUUGUAAAGCCGAGCGUACGUGAUGUUGUAGAGGGCCGACUGCAACGUUUGCGGUAAAACUCAGGCAAAAUAGCGGAUCAAAACAAUCUGAUCUUAUCCGACUACUAUCAACUAAGAAAAAUCGCUGAAAAUGACAGGAAAACGUCAGGUAUUUGUUAAAUAAUAAUGUCCUUGUGUGCGUCCGACUUAACAUGCACCUACUCUAAAAAUGCAUUGCAGAAAAUUGUCUCAUUUAACCUCGCCUUUGCUCAGCGCUACGUUUAAAAAAAACAACACCUAAAUUAAAAUGCGUUAAGUGCCAAUUUCAGUGUAUGAUACGGGAUGCUAAAAGUAUACUUGUGUUUCAAUGUUUGCAUGACAUUGACUGGUUGUACAGUACAUAAUAAUCGAAAUA
Molecule: non-coding RNA, 3184 nt
Organism: Paramuricea clavata
Lineage: Eukaryota; Metazoa; Cnidaria; Anthozoa; Malacalcyonacea; Plexauridae
Source: the annotation of a GenBank genome assembly